Molecule: ribosomal RNA, 774 nt
Filed under: uncultured Neocallimastigales
Lineage: Eukaryota; Fungi; Neocallimastigomycota; Neocallimastigomycetes; Neocallimastigales
Description: partial large subunit ribosomal RNA
Rfam family: Eukaryotic large subunit ribosomal RNA
Source: RNAcentral
GUACACGCUGUGACUAGCAUAUCAAUAAGCGGAGGAAAAGAAACUAACAAGGAUUCCCCUAGUAACGGCGAGUGAAGCGGGAAGAGCUCAAAUUUGAAAUCUUAAAGGGUUUCCCUUUACGAAUUGUAGUUUAAAGAAGUGUUCUCUGUUGAGGUUUUGGUAAGAGUUCUUUGGAAUAGGACAUCAUAGAGGGUGAGAAUCCCGUAUUUGACCUUUACUUUCAACUUUGUGAUACACUUUCAAAGAGUCGGAUUGUUUGGGAAUGCAGUCCAAAAUGGGUGGUAAAUUUCAUCUAAAGCUAAAUAUUGGCGAGAGACCGAUAGCGAACAAGUACCGUGAGGGAAAGAUGAAAAGAACUUUGAAAAGAGAGUUAAACAGUACGUGAAAUUGUCAAAAGGGAAGCGUUUGACACCAGUGUUGUUUUUCUGAAAAUCAAUUAAAGAACUGUUUAUGCUAAGUUGUUUAGACUUUAUCAGCUAACUGUUUAGUUUUGAGCUUUUCUUUAAUGCACUUUUCAGUUAACAAGUCAACAUCAAUUUCUUUUGCUGUAAAAAAGCUUGAGGAAGGUGGCUUGAGAUUCGUCUUAAGUGUUUAUAGCCUCUUGCCUAUGCAGUCGGAGAGAUUGAGGUCUGCAGCGUAGAUCCUUCGGGGCUAAAUGCAUUUGUGCUAAGUUAUAGCAUUUUAUAGACAACUUGUUGACUAUGAUUUGUCUUGUAGCUUACUCGCUUAUGUUAUUUUACCUACGCUUAGGAUGUUGACUGAUAUGUAGUCGUA